AAAAAAAAAAAAAAGAAGCAGCAGCAGCAGCAAAUUUCCAGGAAGAAGCAGGCUAUGGAGAUCAGGGCAGGCAAAGGACAGAAUUAGGUUAGUGCAUCAACUGGGUCCAACCAGGAAGACACAUGUGUUUAUCUCCUGCAGCACCAAAAACCACCCAGAAGACAGCUCAGUGGACCCUAGCAGUGGAUUCUACAUGUCUGCAGAAAAUGAGCAGAAAACAAGCCAGAGUUACAGCUAUCUGCAGAGAGACUACAUCCAGGAGGUCUGAAGACUGAAAGUAAUCACUGCAGUCUGACUUCUACCACUGACACCCUUCCCAUACAUAAUUUAAAUGUGUAAUUAUAAUACCAUUGCUUAGUUAACGGACACCAAUUCGUGCAGGAGCUGCCACAAACAGUAAUAAACCAGCUGUGUUAGAAAUGGAUCACUUAUCAGUGCGUGCCCAAGCCUCCUAAUGCCUCAUGAUGUUUAAUAAUUAAAUUGUGACACCUUGAACCCGCAGCUGACACCAUGAAUCACAGUGGAAUUCUCCAAAUGGAAUGCAGCCACACCUCAGCUUCUGUGCUGCGUGCUGCCACUGAGGACAUUCGAUACCAUUGAAGCCGUCAGAUAGAGGCCGUAUUUCAAAAGGUCUACGGUGGCUCCGUUUCUUCUCUGAGACUUCAAAAGUCCUUCAAGAGUGAGUUCCCGUCUCAUUCUAUGUCCAGGAUGAAGACGGAUGGCCUCUUGGCACCCAUCUCUUUGGCAUGAACGAUGUGGGGAAACGUGAAUGGAAAUGGGGAACUGUUGCUGGCACCCAGAAGUCAUCCGGUCCGGAUGAAGCCAAGUCACAAGGAAGUGCCUCCAAUUAUUCUUCAUAAAUUCCUCUGAGGUUUCACUUCUUGUCCACACAAGACUUUAAUAAAAUGUGGCAUCUAACUGAAUAAAGACUAUCCUUUCGGGUGUGUGUGUCAUGACAGUACUAUUUAUGGAGGACCUCCUGUGUAGCAGUUCUUGCACUGUUUUACGUAAUCAUCCCCUUUCAUCCUAACAAUCACUCCUGUGAAGUAUGUGUCCUUAUUUUCAUUUCGUUGUAGAGAAAACCAAGGCUCUGAGACAUUAAGCAAUGUGCCCAAGGACACACAGCUAGUAAGUGGCUGGAUUUGAGCGCAAGCCUACAAGAAACUGUCUCCCGUGAGCUAAAUCAGACAGUUUGGAGGGGACAGCUGAAGGUAGCUGAACGAAAGAGACAGCUCUUCGUUUCAGGGUGCACCUUUCCCCUUGGGGAAAAAUAUGAAGGGAAAUGUCAGCUUUGGACUAAAGCCCUUCAGCCUUCACCUGUGGCGUGGGAACUAACAUUUCUGCAGUGCUUCGUCAUCACAGAGCUCACUCACAUCGACUGUCUCUCCUCUCAUCGCAAACGCAGGCAGUGGGGGCUCACCGGGGAGAAAAUUUGGCUCUGUGUGGUUACGUGAGUUGCUGACAAUCACACGGCCAGCAAGCAGUAAACCAGAACUGGAGCCCAGACCCUGGGCCACUGCCCCUUCCACCAAGCUCUGUGGCCUUGCCAAAGGAAGACAAGGUCUGGGAGAGUUCUGGAAGGAUCUGCUGUCUGAGGCACCUCCUUUUAGGAGAAGUGAACUUGUGACUGAGACUAGAGGGAUAAGAAAUCAUGUCCCCUCCCUCCGUGUGUCUCCUGAGCCGACCUCAGCCUCCACCCACCUACCUGCUGGGUGGGGUCCUCCUGGGCCCCCGACCCAAACUCGGAGUCCACUCCAAUUUCUCCAGACGCCCCUCCCAGAUGGACAAUUCAAAUCCAAGCACGCCAAACACUGACCUACCCUCCUCCCUUAAACCCACUUCCCUUCCUCCCCUACCCCUCACUCUCCAGGCAGGUACCCCCAAGCCAGGAACUUGGAGUCGCCCUCGAUAGGCCCCUUACUCCCAUCCCUCAGGUUAAACCAUCACUGAGGCCAAUGGAUUCUAUUCCUAAAGGUCUCCAGACUCUCCUCCCUUCUCUCCCCACAACCCCACCUGGCCUCAGUUCCGGCCUCGUCGCAUCUACCUGAACACGUGUACCACCUUCCUUUUCACCCCUCCCAUGCCUCUUCCCACUGUGCUCAGAGCCAGGAGGUAAAUCCAACCGUGGGGGCCCACUGUGGCUCUGCAGGGGGCUCUUCUCACCCUACCCCCACCCGGGCUCACAGCAGGUGAGACGCAUCUUGCUGAGGCCCACGGCCCCGUCCAGCCCAGCUCUCAGCACACUGCCCCAGCCACACUGAACCCCUUGCAAUCCCCCAAGGUGAGGGGGCCACGAAGGGCAGGACGAGUUCAAGUCUUGCCAACUUCACUCAAAGACGUGGGCACACCAGAGGGGCCAAGUCCUGCCCUCUGCCUUCCGGAGUGAAGGCUACUCUGCCUCUUUCUACAGAUGCAAUGAAGGUCUGGAGGGAUGGGGGGGAAGAGAGGCUGGCCUGGCGGGCAGCCCUUGAGUGCAGAGAGGGGGUCCUGAGCCCCAGGCCUGCAGGUCAGAGCAGAGCCCUCUCUUCUCUAUCUGACAAGCACAGAGCACUUGCUGUGGGUGGCUGCAGUGCUGGGUGCUGGGGUUACCAACAUCACCUGGCCCUGGUCUGGCUCUUCAUGGGGCUCUCAGCCACUGGGAGAGCAGGCACAGGGGAUUGGGGCAGCAGAGGCUGAUAAAGGUAAGCAAAUCUCCUUUGGGAGAGCUUCGGAGAAAUACACACCCCAAACCGGGAACUGGUGUCAUGGAAGCUUCCCCAACGGGUUAACCUUGAACUGACUUUGAAGAACGAGGUGCCCAACAAGAAAAGGGCGAUGGGAGGGUGCUCUGCGGGGAGGGUGCUCUGCGGGGAGGGUGGAGACAUGAGGCAGCUUGGUGCUCUCAGUUUUCCUGAGCAGAUGAGAGUAAAGGAGGGAGGGCUAGGGGAGAGGCUGAUGAGAGGGCAGGCCAGUCAUGCCCCUUCUCUCUCCUGGAGCCAUGGGAGCCGCUGCUGGAGUUCAGCAGGAGGGGACAGGUGAAGUUGGUGGAGAACCAUCACUUUCUUCUCCUUUACUCCUGAGAGGCGCCAUGAAUGAGCCAAUUCAGGGCAGAAAGGGGCCCCCUGCUGCAGGGCCAUGGCACAGAGCCCCCCCAGGCUGGAGCAAGGCCACGUCCUCAAUGUCCCUUUUCCAGGCCAUCAUCCCAGAGGCUCGCGAAUCUGCAGAUGACUGUCUGCGCUGCCAUGGACUGAACAUUUACGAUACACCUACGCUAUGGACCGUGCUCCAUGUUGUCAGGAUGCAGAAGUGACAACUGAGAUUUCAGGACCGGGUCAAGCCUCAAAGAGUAGAACUCUGCCCUCCCCAAGGUCGCUGGGGAAAGUCAUGACAGCAGGAACCCCACAGAGUCCCAGCAUGAUGUGUGCAUUCUUAAUUCAUGUCACCUGAGCCUGGAAGCUCCUGUGUGCCUCAGUUUCCUCAUCUGGAAAAUGGGAAUAAUGAUCUACAGGGUUGCUAUGAGGAGCAAGUUAUAUAUAAAAAAUAUAUUUUUACA
RNAcentral lists this long non-coding RNA (3532 nucleotides) under Homo sapiens (human). Its description in RNAcentral is "HSALNT0406400". Lineage: Eukaryota; Metazoa; Chordata; Mammalia; Primates; Hominidae. The record is from RNAcentral.